Molecule: ribosomal RNA, 492 nt
Filed under: uncultured bacterium
Lineage: Bacteria
Description: partial 16S ribosomal RNA
Rfam family: Bacterial small subunit ribosomal RNA
Source: RNAcentral
AGUGAACGCUGGCGGUAGGCCUAACACAUGCAAGUCGAACGGCAGCACAGUAAGAGCUUGCUCUUACGGGUGGCGAGUGGCGGACGGGUGAGGAAUACAUCGGAAUCUACUUUUUCGUGGGGGAUAACGUAGGGAAACUUACGCUAAUACCGCAUACGACCUACGGGUGAAAGCAGGGGAUCUUCGGACCUUGCGCGAUUGAAUGAGCCGCUGUCGGAUUAGCUAGUUGGGGGGGUAAAGGCCCACCAAGGCGACGAUCCGUAGCUGGUCUGAGAGGAUGAUCGGCCACACGGGAACGGAGACACGGUCCAGACUCCUACGGGAGGCAGCAGUGGGGAAUAUUGGACAAUGGGCGCAAGCCUGAUCCAGCCAUACCGCGUGGGUGAAGAAGGCCUUCGGGUUGUAAAGCCCUUUUGUUGGGAAAGAAAAGCAGCAGGUUAAUACCCCGCUGUUCUGACGGUACCCAAAGAAUAAGCACCGGCUAACUUCGUG